AGUGAACGCUGGCGGCAGGCCUAACACAUGCAAGUCGAACGGCAGCACAAGAGAGCUUGCUCUCUGGGUGGCGAGUGGCGGACGGGUGAGGAAUGCAUCGGAAUCUGCCCAUUUGUGGGGGAUAACCUCGGGAAACCGGGACUAAUACCGCAUACGACCUACGGGUGAAAGCAGGGGAUCUUCGGACCUUGCGCAGAUGGAUGAGCCGAUGCCGGAUUAGCUAGUUGGAGGGUUAAAGGCCCACCAAGGCGACGAUCCGUAGCUGGUCUGAGAGGAUGAUCAGCCACACUGGGACUGAGACACGGCCCAGACUCCUACGGGAGGCAGCAGUGGGGAAUAUUGGACAAUGGGCGCAAGCCUGAUCCAGCCAUGCCGCGUGUGUGAAGAAGGCCUUCGGGUUGUAAAGCACUUUUGUUGGGAAAGAAAAGCAGCCGGUUAAUACCCGGUUGUCAUGACGGUACCCAAAGAAUAAGCACCGGCUAACUUCGUG
RNAcentral lists this ribosomal RNA (490 nucleotides) under uncultured bacterium. RNAcentral's name for it is "partial 16S ribosomal RNA". It matches the Rfam family "Bacterial small subunit ribosomal RNA", at positions 29 to 507 of the family's 1533-position model. The record is from RNAcentral.